UACGUAGGGGGCGAGCGUUGUCCGGAUUUAUUGGGCGUAAAGAGCUCGUAGGCGGUUCGAUAAGUCAGGUGUUAAAACUCCAGGCUCAACUUGGAGAGGCCACCUGAUACUGUCGUGACUAGAGUCCGGUAGAGGAGCAUGUAAUUCCUGGUGUAGCGGUGAAAUGCGCAGAUAUCAGGAGGAACACCAGCGGCGAAGGCGGUGCUCUGGGCCGGAACUGACGCUGAGGAGCGAAAGCGUGGGGAGCGAACAGG
RNAcentral lists this ribosomal RNA (254 nucleotides) under uncultured bacterium. RNAcentral describes it as "partial 16S ribosomal RNA". It matches the Rfam family "Bacterial small subunit ribosomal RNA", at positions 524 to 776 of the family's 1533-position model. The record is from RNAcentral.